RNAcentral lists this unclassified non-coding RNA (377 nucleotides) under uncultured Oligoflexaceae bacterium. RNAcentral's name for it is "contains 16S-23S intergenic spacer region". Lineage: Bacteria; Pseudomonadati; Bdellovibrionota; Oligoflexia; Oligoflexales; Oligoflexaceae. The record is from RNAcentral.
UCCGGUUUAACACCGGCAGUCUUCUCAGAGUGCCCAACUUAAUGCUGGCAACUAAGAACAAGGGUUGCGCUCGUUGCGGGACUUAACCCAACAUCUUACGACACGAGCUGACGACAGCCAUGCAGCACCUAUCUCACUGUCCCCGAAGGGAAGGCCACAUCUCUGUGGAUGUCAGUGGAUGUUAAACCCAGGUAAGGUUCUGCGCGUUGCUUCGAAUUAAACCACAUACUCCACCGCUUGUGCGGGCCCCCGUCAAUUCCUUUGAGUUUUAGUCUUGCGACCGUACUCCCCAGGCGGGAUACUUAAUGCGUGAGCUUCGGUACCCAGGAGGUUAACAUCCCGGACACCUAGUAUCCAUCGUUUACGGCGCGGACUAC